RNAcentral lists this ribosomal RNA (253 nucleotides) under uncultured bacterium. RNAcentral describes it as "partial 16S ribosomal RNA". It matches the Rfam family "Bacterial small subunit ribosomal RNA", at positions 524 to 776 of the family's 1533-position model. The record is from RNAcentral.
UACGUAGGGUGCAGGCGUUAAUCGGAAUUACUGGGCGUAAAGCGUGCGCAGGCGGUUUGCUAAGACAGGUGUGAAAUCCCCGGGCUUAACCUGGGAACUGCGCUUGUAACUGGCAAGCUAGAGUGUGGCAGAGGGGGGUGGAAUUCCAGGUGUAGCAGUGAAAUGCGUAGAGAUCUGGAGGAACACCGAUGGCGAAGGCGGCAUCCUGGACCGGCAUUGACGCUGAGGAGCGAAAGCCAGGGGAGCAAACGGG